UGAUAAGUAGGGCUUUGAUGGUCGAAUGU
This 29-nucleotide non-coding RNA is filed under the name Rattus norvegicus (Norway rat). Lineage: Eukaryota; Metazoa; Chordata; Mammalia; Rodentia; Muridae. The record is from RNAcentral.